UGGCAGGUCAGCAUACUGCCGUGAAUACGUUCCCGGGCCUUGUACACAUCGCCCGUCACACCAUGAGAGUUGGGAAUACCCGAAGCCUGUGAGCUAACUUAUAGAGGCAGCAGUCGAAGGUAGAAUCAAUGAUUGGGGUGAAGUCGUAACAAGGUAUC
This 158-nucleotide ribosomal RNA is filed under the name uncultured bacterium. RNAcentral's name for it is "partial 16S ribosomal RNA". It matches the Rfam family "Bacterial small subunit ribosomal RNA", at positions 1342 to 1500 of the family's 1533-position model. The record is from RNAcentral.